UCCCAUAUUGUCUAGUGGUUAGGAUACCCGGCUCUCACCCGGGAGGCCCGGGUUCAAUUCCCGAUAUGGGAA
This 72-nucleotide transfer RNA is filed under the name Daphnia magna. Its description in RNAcentral is "tRNA-Glu". It matches the Rfam family "tRNA". Rfam says of the family: Transfer RNA (tRNA) molecules are approximately 80 nucleotides in length. Their secondary structure includes four short double-helical elements and three loops (D, anti-codon, and T loops). Further hydrogen bonds mediate the characteristic L-shaped molecular structure. tRNAs have two regions of fundamental functional importance: the anti-codon, which is responsible for specific mRNA codon recognition, and the 3' end, to which the tRNAs corresponding amino acid is attached (by aminoacyl-tRNA synthetases). tRNAs cope with the degeneracy of the genetic code in two manners: having more than one tRNA (with a specific anti-codon) for a particular amino acid; and 'wobble' base-pairing, i.e. permitting non-standard base-pairing at the 3rd anti-codon position. Lineage: Eukaryota; Metazoa; Arthropoda; Branchiopoda; Diplostraca; Daphniidae. The record is from RNAcentral.